This 254-nucleotide ribosomal RNA is filed under the name uncultured bacterium. RNAcentral's name for it is "partial 16S ribosomal RNA". It matches the Rfam family "Bacterial small subunit ribosomal RNA", at positions 524 to 776 of the family's 1533-position model. The record is from RNAcentral.
UACAGAGGGCGCGAGCGUUGUCCGGAAUCACUGGGCGUAAAGGGCGCGUAGGUGGCCACUAUAAGGCCGCGGUGAAAGUUCGGGGCUCAACCCUGAAUCUGCCGCGGCGACUGUAGGGCUUGGGUACCGUAGAGGCAGAUGGAAUUCCGGGUGUAGCGGUGGAAUGCUUAGAGAUUACAUGGAAUACCAAUUGCGAAGGCAGGUUACUACUAAUGGAUUGACGCUGAUGGACGAAAGCGUGGGUAGCGAACAGG